RNAcentral lists this ribosomal RNA (468 nucleotides) under uncultured bacterium. Its description in RNAcentral is "partial 16S ribosomal RNA". It matches the Rfam family "Bacterial small subunit ribosomal RNA", at positions 28 to 507 of the family's 1533-position model. The record is from RNAcentral.
GACGAACGCUGGCGGCGUGCCUAACACAUGCAAGUCGAACGGAAAGGCCCUGCUUUUGUGGGGUGCUCGAGUGGCGAACGGGUGAGUAACACGUGAGUAACCUGCCCUUGACUUUGGGAUAACUUCAGGAAACUGGGGCUAAUACCGGAUAGGAGCUCCUGCUGCAUGGUGGGGGUUGGAAAGUUUCGGCGGUUGGGGAUGGACUCGCGGCUUAUCAGCUUGUUGGUGGGGUAGUGGCUUACCAAGGCUUUGACGGGUAGCCGGCCUGAGAGGUUGACCGGCCACAUUGGGACUGAGAUACGGCCCAGACUCCUACGGGAGGCAGCAGUGGGGAAUAUUGCACAAUGGGCGGAAGCCUGAUGCAGCAACGCCGCGUGCGGGAUGACGGCCUUCGGGUUGUAAACCGCUUUCGCCUGUGACGAAGCGUGAGUGACGGUAAUGGGUAAAGAAGCACCGGCUAACUACGUG